RNAcentral lists this ribosomal RNA (581 nucleotides) under uncultured bacterium. RNAcentral describes it as "partial 16S ribosomal RNA". The record is from RNAcentral.
UACCUUGUUACGACUUCACCCCAAUUAUCGAACCCACCUUCGGCCGCGUCCCCCUUGCGGUUAGACUACGGACUUCGGGUGUUCCCGACUCUCAUGGUGUGACGGGCGGUGUGUACAAGGCCUGGGAACGUAUUCACCGCGGCAUGCUGAUCCGCGAUUACUAGCGAUUCCAACUUCACGCAGGCGGGUUUCAGCCUGCGAUCCGAACUGGGAUGGCUUUUAGGGAUUUGCUCCACCUCGCGGUAUUGCUUCCCUCUGUUGACCACCAUUGUAGUACGUGUGUGGCCCAGGACAUAAGGGGCAUGAUGAUUUGACGUCGUCCCCACCUUCCUCCGUUUUGUCAACGGCAGUCUCGCUAGAGUGCUCUUGCGUAGCAACUAACAAUAAGGGUUGCGCUCGUUGCGGGACUUAACCCAACAUCUCACGACACGAGCUGACGACAACCAUGCACCACCUGUGUGGGAUGUCCCCGAAGGGAAAAGACUAUCUCUAGUCCGGUCAUCCCCAUGUCAAGCCCUGGUAAGGUUCUUCGCGUUGCUUCGAAUUAAACCACAUACUCCACCGCUUGUGCGGGCCCCCGU